GGCACUUUGGCCGAGUGGUCUAAGGCGCCGUGUUCAGGCGAUCGGUUGCGUUGAUCCAGCGCAGUCGCCCCUCUUCGCGGUCUAGUAAUAGGCGAGGGUUCGAAUCCCUCAGGUGUCA
Claviceps maximensis is the source of this 118-nucleotide non-coding RNA. NCBI's taxonomy places the organism in Eukaryota, Fungi, Ascomycota, Sordariomycetes, Hypocreales, Clavicipitaceae. The record is from the annotation of a GenBank genome assembly.